RNAcentral lists this long non-coding RNA (2158 nucleotides) under Nicotiana tabacum (common tobacco). RNAcentral's name for it is "long non-coding RNA (NTAB_LNC011373)". Lineage: Eukaryota; Viridiplantae; Streptophyta; Magnoliopsida; Solanales; Solanaceae. The record is from RNAcentral.
AAAAAAAGAAAAGGGUCGUAGCCCACCAAAUUUCAAUUUGGCAAAUAGGUAAAAGCAAAGAAAGGGAUUUAGGGAAGGGGAAGGACUCACGGCAAACACAAAAGAAAAGAAAAAGAGGGCUUUGGGUAGUAGAAGGAUUCUAACACAGAGAAAACUCACGGGCAAGAAUUAGUUAAGGGAAAAUCUAGUGAAAAGCUUGGAAGCCACUUUUGAAAACAAAAGAAAACGUGAGAUUUGCACUUUUCUUCCAUUGAAGAGCACCAGGAUAAUUCAACGAAGAGAAACUAACUAAACAGAGAAGAAGAAGGUAAAUUUUUUAACUUAAUUUGUAGAUUUGAUUCAUAAAUUCCAUGGCUAUAGAGUUGGGGUAAGAAUUAGUUAGAAGAAUUAAUAUUAAUGAAAUUUUAGGGUUAUAAACUUAUAUAGUCUGUCUAUGCCACACAAAAAAAAAGAGAAGGGAUAUUCCUUCAAAAACCUUUCUGUUUUGUUAGUGAUUGGUAAUCAAAUAUGAUUGCUACUAAUAUUGGUGAUAUUGGAAAAAAAUUUACAAUGUAAUUUUGAUAGCAUUGAGUUGGGAUACUGAAAUGGGUCUUGAUAUUCCAAGUAGAAUAAGAGGGAUUUGUUGGGUUAUUAUAAUUCGGCGAAUUAAGAGCCAAAUAUGAAACUCUGAGGGUUGGGCAUUCUAAAUUAGCUACGAAUUAGCCUAAACAUGGAAAAUUAACAUGAGAUCGAUAUCAUAUAAUUAUAGAUUGAUUGGAGGAAGUUGUACGAAUUGCUCGAGGUGAAGCAUUUGGUAUUUCGGCACGAGUACUGUGAGUAGUAAUCUUACCGCAAUUUGUGUUUUCAUAACUUGCAUGAUUUACACAUGAUUUUAAAUAUGAAUAUGUUACCGAUUAUUUUAAGUUGCAUGUGGGACAAGUCUUUUACUCGAUAUGAUACCGAAAUAGUUAUUGGAGAAGAUUACCUUUGUUUUAAAUAUUUUCAUUGUCACUAGAUCUGUUUUACCGUUACUUGAAUUUACUGUUAUCGAAAAGAAAUUAUAUGAUUUGAUAAGAACCAAAAUGCCCUAUAUUGUUUUAAAAUAUUUUCUAUGAGUAUAUACGGAUUACAGAGACAAGUAUAAAUGGGAGUAGACAUUGAAGGAUCUUGUAGCUAACGGCGGGUUCGUUAGACCUGAUGCACCUUGUAUUUACCGAUUACAGAGUACAGUUAUAGCCAUCUCUAGUGGGAAUGUAGAACUAGCAUACCGUUAUCGAUUUCCCUCGAGUAGGGACUACCGUUAUAUUUGACUUCUUGCGAAGAAGUCCACAGUUAUACUGAUUACAUGAUCCGUUCAUUGAAACCUCCCAAAAUGUGAAUACUGAUAUUAUACAAUGGUUACCGAGCUUAUUACUGAAUUGUAUUUGUAUUAUACUACAAGAAAAGUAUGGUGAGACUGAAAAUUAUUUCUUGUUUCUGAAAGAGCAUUUUUAUGUUAUUUUCUAUUUGAGAUACUAGCAUGUUUUCUAACUUGUCCCCAAUAAAAACGGUUGUGGUUAAGUGUUAUUACUCACUGAGCUAGCGACUCAUUCCCCGCUAAUUUUUUUUUUUACAGAGACAACAGUUAACACGGGCAAGGAUUUCGUUAAUUAGAGUGCACAGGUUGGUUCUUGGUGAGCCUCGCACUUGUUCGCGUGGGCGGAGAUGAUUUUUAUCAAUUGUUAUGGUCUUUUCCUUGAACUCUUAGAGUCGCUCCAUAGUCAUUCCUUUAGUUUUUUGAGUAUUCUUCGUUAUUAUAGACUUAUGUUGAGUAUCAUUCUUAUUUAUCAAAGUUGGAGAUAAAUUAGUACUUCUAGUGGUUAUUUGGUGAUUUAGUUAAUUUGGAGACUUGUAUUGGUUAAUUGACAAGUUGUCAAUUAUUUGGUAUGAUAUUAGGAUGUUUGGUUGUUGAUUUGAGACAGGAAAUUUUUUUUUGGGAUGGUCCAAAAAUAGGGGAAACUCUGUCCGUUUUUCUAUAAAAUUACCGAUGAGGCUUACUUGGGAGCACUUGCUCCUAAGCGCCGGUCACAAUCCUAAAUUGGGUUGUGACAUAAGACUUGGAAACUUUGAUUAUUUUACCAUAAAAAUUGUUGUCAAAAGUGUUUAUAAAUAGAAAUUUCCUUUUUCAUUUCAACCGGCC